AGUGAACGCUGGCGGUAGGCCUAACACAUGCAAGUCGAACGGCAGCACAGUAAGCGCUUGCUCUUACGGGUGGCGAGUGGCGGACGGGUGAGGAAUACAUCGGAAUCUACUUUUUCGUGGGGGAUAACGUAGGGAAACUUACGCUACUACCGCAUACGACCUACGGGUGAAAGCAGGGGAUCUUCGGACCUUGCGCGAUUGAAUGAGCCGAUGUCGGAUUAGCUAGUUGGCGGGGUAAGGGCCCACCAAGGCGACGAUCCGUAGCUGGUCUGAGAGGAUGAUCAGCCACACUGGAACUGAGACACGGUCCAGACUCCUACGGGAGGCAGCAGUGGGGAAUAUUGGACAAUGGGCGCAAGCCUGAUCCAGCCAUACCGCGUGGGUGAAGAAGGCCUUCGGGUUGUAAAGCCCUUUUGUUGGGAAAGAAAAGCAGCAGGUUAAUACCCCGCUGUUCUGACGGUACCCAAAGAAUAAGCACCGGCUAACUUCGUG
Molecule: ribosomal RNA, 492 nt
Filed under: uncultured bacterium
Lineage: Bacteria
Description: partial 16S ribosomal RNA
Rfam family: Bacterial small subunit ribosomal RNA
Source: RNAcentral